This 250-nucleotide ribosomal RNA is filed under the name uncultured bacterium. RNAcentral's name for it is "partial 16S ribosomal RNA". It matches the Rfam family "Bacterial small subunit ribosomal RNA", at positions 524 to 773 of the family's 1533-position model. The record is from RNAcentral.
UACGGGGGGUGCAAGCGUUGCUCGGAAUCACUGGGCGUAAAGCGUCCGCAGGUGGGUGUGUGUGUCGGAUGUGAAAGCCCAGGGCUCAACCCUGGAACUGCAUUCGAAACUGCACAUCUUGAGUACGGGAGAGGGAAGCAGAAUUCCUGGUGUAGAGGUGAAAUUCGUAGAUAUCAGGAGGAAUACCUGUGGCGAAAGCGGCUUCCUGGUCCGAUACUGACACUCAUGGACGAAAGCGCGGGGAGCAAAC